Molecule: ribosomal RNA, 963 nt
Filed under: Fomitopsis pulvina
Lineage: Eukaryota; Fungi; Basidiomycota; Agaricomycetes; Polyporales; Fomitopsidaceae
Description: LSU rRNA
Rfam family: Eukaryotic large subunit ribosomal RNA
Source: RNAcentral
GCAUUUUCAAUUAAGCCGGAGGAAAAGAAACUAACGAGGGAUUCCCCUAGUAACUGCGAGUGAAGCCGGGAAAAGCUCAAAUUUAAAAUCUGGCGGUUUUUUCUGGCCGUCCGAGUUGUAGUCUGGAGAAGUGCUUUCCGCGCUGGAACCGUGUACAAGUCUCUUGGAACAGAGCGUCAUAGAGGGUGAGAAUCCCGUCUUUGACACGGACUAACUAGUGCUUUGUGAUGUGCUCUCAAAGAGUCGAGUUGUUUGGGAAUGCAGCUCAAAAUGGGUGGUAAAUUCCAUCUAAAGCUAAAUAUUGGCGAGAGACCGAUAGCGAACAAGUACCGUGAGGGAAAGAUGAAAAGCACUUUGGAAAGAGAGUUAAACAGUACGUGAAAUUGCUGAAAGGGAAACGCUUGAAGUCAGUCGUGUUGGCCAGAACUCAGCCUUGCUUUUUCUGCUUGGUGCAUUUUCUGGUUGAUGGGCCAGCAUCGAUUUUAAUUGCUGGAGAAAGGCUUGAGGGAAUGUGGCACCCUCGGGUGUGUUAUAGCCCUUAGUCACAUACAGUGGUUGGGAUCGAGGACCGCAGCACGCCUUUAUGGCCGGGGUUCGCCCACGUUGUGUGCUUAGGAUGCUGGCAUAAUGGCUUUAAACGACCCGUCUUGAAACACGGACCAAGGAGUCUAACAUGCCUGCGAGUGUUUGGGUGGAAAACCCGAGUGCAUAAUUAAAGUGAAAGUCGAGAUCCUUGUCAUGGGGAGCAUCGAUGCCCGGACUCAAGCCUUGGCGAGGGCUCCGCGGUAGAGCAUGUAUGUUGGGACCCGAAAGAUGGUGAACUAUGCCUGAAUAGGGUGAAGCCAGGAGGAAACUCUGGUGGAGGCUCGUAGCGAUUUCUGACGUGCAAAUCGAUCGUCAAAUUUGGGUAUAGGGGCGAAAGACUAAWUUCGAACCAUUCUAGGUAGCUGGGUUUCCUGCGAG